Drosophila sechellia is the source of this 2053-nucleotide long non-coding RNA. RefSeq lists it as uncharacterized. The record is from RefSeq and is a predicted model, not a curated record. Lineage: Eukaryota; Metazoa; Arthropoda; Insecta; Diptera; Drosophilidae. The transcript has 2 exons.
GGCGAUUUUCUAUUUAUGGUUUUGUUUGCUGAAAAGCCGCAGCUCGAAACGUUUUGACAAAUGUUCGCGUAUUAUGAAUCAAAUCUAAUUUUGGCCAGGUUUCUGGCGUCUGCCAUCAAGAAUUGAGCGAAGAAGAAGCCCCAAGAGUCAAACAAGUUGAACAUUUGAACGUUGAUAUAUACAAGUGUGUGGGCUGCGAUCGGUUUUAUAAGGCGUUCUUCUGGUUGGGCAAUAAAACAUGUGCACACACAUAAAUCGAGAGCGAUUUGAAUUGGCGUUACGCAUACGACAUGUUGGCCAAAGCGAACAGCAAACAUUUCGCACCCCAGUCGGCUGACAUAAACUUAUCGCAAACUAACAGUAAUCACAUCGCAAUGAAGAUGCUUGUUGAACUUGGACCAGAAACACACCAUCUCAGUCACAACCAGGAUGUGCACAGAUAAGCAAGUGAGCCGGCGAAUUCAGCACGAUUCACGAAUAACAAAUAGAGAUCCGGGGAACGGGUGACCAAUGGAACCAGCCGGAAUUGGAAGCACUCUGCUCUGCUGACGUAGAAUUCGAUGGCGACGAAGUGUGCCGGCUGCCGGCAAGUGACUCAGCCUCCAUUUAAAGCGAGUCAAUAAGAGACCCCAAGAAGAAGACUGCGGAGAAUUUGUUUUUGUUUGGAUACCCUAGACUGUGUGGGGUACGUUCAUUUUGGUGGUUCGUUUUAAUUGCAAAAAUAAUAAUUGCAAGAAUUUAAUAGAAAUAGUAUAUUUGCAGCUCAUUAAAGACAGGCUAGCCUUAUGUGGAUAAUUAAUUUAAAAGGAAAUAUAGUAUGCAAGAUGCAUUUCAUAUUCUUCUUUCUGUUACAAGUUAUAUCCAUUUUAAAUAUUUAUUACUAAUAAUUUCAAACAACAAAAGAUACAUUAAGAGUAUGUCGAAUUCCAUAACCCCGACAGUAGCAAUCUAUCUCAUUUGCUUGUGUAAGGGACAAAACAUUUGCGACAGUCAUUGCAGCGCUUAACUAGCGCGCAAAAUGUGUCAUAAAAUUAUUACAAAAGCGAAUUAUUUCUCUGUCUAACUCAUUAUAAACUGUCAAGUUCUAAUUUAGUAAAUUAAAUAAAGCGGGAAUAAAGCUCGACCAGGUCAGGGGCUAUUUUUAGGGGUAUGAAUGGUCAGGAGCAUAGGAACUUUUCUAUCAAAAUCGAUUUCCAUCAGGUCAAAACUAUUUCUAUGUCUACAGAUCAGAUAGUGCGUGAUAUCAAAAAUGUAAAAUGUUGAUGGACAAUCCAAAUAACAAAUUGCAAAUGGCUCAGUAUCUAUUUUUAGCGGAUAAAAACUGUCGACUAUUAGAUUGCCAGCAUUCUUAUCGAAAUGAAAGCGGGGAAAAAAAAAAAAUGCAAAGAUUAAAACGUGUGCUGGCUAUGCAAAUUCUAGUGAAAACCCAAUUCUCGUAUCUAAUCUAUUCGAAUCGUAAAACCGAAGCAUAAACAACUUGUUAACAGGUCAUUAAAACGUUUAAAAAAUAUUUGCGGCACGUUUUGUACUGCCUUUUGCCGCAACUCUCCCCUCAACUAAAUUGUUCAAUAAUUGUUUGAAUGCUUAUUUAUGUAGCUACAACUCAAUCAAGCCGGGCAAAUAAUAAAUACGUGAUUAAUAAAACCGAUUUUGUUUGCCCAGCAGCCAGAACGUCGCCAGCGGGGCUAUGAAAUACGAAAGGGUAAUCUUAUCAUGACGAAUGGUUUCCAAUGCAAGGGCGUUGAGUUCAUCAUAGAACUGAGGAUCGGUUAUCAAGUGUUAACCUGUAGACUUAUCGAUGGAGCCGCACCACCGAAAGGUACUGGAGAUUAGGGGGGUUCCUUAAGUAAUGCGUUAAAAAUAGCGGCAUUAUGCGAGCUCUACUAGAUUCCAAACGGUUCACUUCAGAUAUCUGAGCUGAUGACCACGGCUGCGUCAGAUUCUAUUUUGUCUAACCGGUGUUCCUGGUAAAGGUAUGCCUAAAUAAUACUAUCAGUAGGUAAAAACUAGGAAAUAAGUGGCUUAUCUCUUAAAUAUAUUACUGCAAAAGUGA